This is a Y RNA of Pongo abelii (Sumatran orangutan), 102 nucleotides long. It matches the Rfam family "Y RNA". Rfam says of the family: Y RNAs are components of the Ro ribonucleoprotein particle (Ro RNP), in association with Ro60 and La proteins. NCBI's taxonomy places the organism in Eukaryota, Metazoa, Chordata, Mammalia, Primates, Hominidae. The record is from Ensembl.
GGCUAAUCCGAAUGCAGCGGUGUUUACAACUAAUUGAUCACAACGAAAUACAGAUUUAUUUAUUCCUUCUCCACUUCCACUGCUUCACUUGACUAGCCUUUA